This 408-nucleotide ribosomal RNA is filed under the name uncultured bacterium. RNAcentral's name for it is "partial 16S ribosomal RNA". It matches the Rfam family "Bacterial small subunit ribosomal RNA", at positions 28 to 526 of the family's 1533-position model. The record is from RNAcentral.
AUUGAACGCUGGCGGCAGGCCUAACACAUGCAAGUCGAGCGGAGUGGCGAACGGGUGAGUAACACGUGGGUGACCUGCCCUGCACUUCGGGAUAAGCCUGGGAAACUGGGUCUAAUCCCGGAUAGUGUGGGAUGGGCCCGCGGCCUAUCAGCUUGUUGGUGGGGUAAUGGCCUACCAAGGCGGCGACGGGUAGCCGGCCUGAGAGGGUGGACGGCGACAUUGGGACUGAGAUACGGCCCAGAGUCCUACGGGAGGCAGCAGUGGGGAAGAUUGCACAAUGGGCGGAAGCCUGAUGCAGCGACGCCGCGUGGGGGAUGACGGCCGUCGGGUUGUAAACGACUUUCACCAUCGACGCGGUAGAUGGAGAAGAAGCACCGGCUAACUACGUGCCAGCCGCCGCGGUAAUAC